This 372-nucleotide ribosomal RNA is filed under the name uncultured organism. RNAcentral's name for it is "bacterial SSU rRNA". It matches the Rfam family "Bacterial small subunit ribosomal RNA", at positions 526 to 896 of the family's 1533-position model. The record is from RNAcentral.
CAUGGGGUGCAAACGUUGCUCGGAAUUAUUGGGCGUAAAGCGCGCGUAGGCGGUUACUCAAGUCGGAUGUGAAAGCCCUCGGCUUAACUGAGGAAGUGCACCCGAAACUGAGUAGCUAGAGUACUAAAGAGGGUCGCGGAAUUCCCGGUGUAGAGGUGAAAUUCGUAGAUAUCGGGAGGAACACCGAUGGCGAAGGCGGCGACCUGGGUAGAUACUGACGCUGAGGCGCGAAAGCGUGGGGAGCAAACAGGAUUAGAUACCCUGGUAGUCCACGCCGUAAACGAUGGGUGCUAGAUGUUUCUGGUAUUGACCCCGGAGGCGUCGUAGCUAACGCGUUAAGCACCCCGCCUGGGGAGUACGGCCGCAAGGCUA